AUUGAACGCUGGCGGAAUGCUUUACACAUGCAAGUCGAGCGGCAGCGCGGGGCAACCUGGCGGCGAGCGGCGAACGGGUGAGUAACACAUCGGAACGUGCCCAGACGUGGGGGAUAGCCCGGCGAAAGCCGGAUUAAUACCGCAUACGAUCUGAGGAUGAAAGCGGGGGAUCGCAAGACCUCGCGCGUUUGGAGCGGCCGAUGGCAGAUUAGGUAGUUGGUGGGGUAAAGGCUUACCAAGCCUGCGAUCUGUAGCUGGUCUGAGAGGAUGAUCAGCCACACUGGGACUGAGACACGGCCCAGACUCCUACGGGAGGCAGCAGUGGGGAAUUUUGGACAAUGGCGCAAGCCUGAUCCAGCCAUUCCGCGUGCAGGACGAAGGCCUCGGUUGUAACUAGCUUU
This 401-nucleotide ribosomal RNA is filed under the name uncultured bacterium. RNAcentral's name for it is "bacterial SSU rRNA". It matches the Rfam family "Bacterial small subunit ribosomal RNA", at positions 29 to 436 of the family's 1533-position model. The record is from RNAcentral.